Molecule: ribosomal RNA, 792 nt
Filed under: Triticum aestivum (bread wheat)
Lineage: Eukaryota; Viridiplantae; Streptophyta; Magnoliopsida; Poales; Poaceae
Description: partial small subunit ribosomal RNA
Source: RNAcentral
CAGGUAUAUGAAACUGAUAGUGAUCCAAAGACAAGUAAUGAGGCUCUAUGUUUGGCAAAAAAUGAACUUGGAGAGUGUGAAUUUAUCAUGGCAAUAGUCAUUUGGUAUGGGGUAUUGUUUGCUGUUAAUUUAGUAAGCAAAAACUUGCAAACAAAGGAUAUGCUUAUUGAUGUUGCUAUUGAGAAAGUAAAAGGGCUUAUUUCUUUCUUCAAGGGGUACAUGACUGGUUUCUUAGAAGCAUUGGAGAUAGCCAAAGAAAUUGCACUUGAGAUGGAUACUGGUGCAACAUUUCGUAAAAGGAGAGAAAUUAAAAGAAAGAAACAGUUUGAUGAGAACCCAGACGACACAAAUAUUGCCACACGGUCUGAAGAGGAAUCAUUUAGAAUCAACUAUUUUAUAUCUGUUGUUGAUCAAGCAAUUUCCCCACUCACAAGGAGAUUUGGACAAUGUCAGGGUUACCAGAAAUUUGGUUUCUUAUUUACCUCUGAAACAUUGCACUCAUUGGAUAAGGAUAGUUUGAAAUCUUCAUGUGUUAAUCUUGAGGCUGCCCUUAAGAAGGAUAAAAAACCUGAUAUUGAUGCCAACGAUCGAUUUGUUGAGUUGAAGUUUCUUCAAAAUUUCAUGCCAAAAGAAAAUAUCAGACUUGUUGAAAUUCUAAAAAAUUUAAAUCGGCAUGAUUGUUUUCCCUAUCACUGCUGCAGGAUGCUGCUAACGCGACACUACGAUCAGAGACCCUUCGACGAAACUGUGUGCGAUGCAAUAAUCGCAAACGGUGGUGUAAAAAAACCAUAA